This 232-nucleotide unclassified non-coding RNA is filed under the name soil metagenome. Its description in RNAcentral is "partial internal transcribed spacer 1". The record is from RNAcentral.
UUGAAUUUUAAUGAAGAGUUUGGUUGUAGCUGGCCCAUUCAUUUGGGCAUGUGCACACCUUCCUCUUUCAUCCCACACGCACCUGUGAACCUGUGAGACAGAGAUGGGGAAUUUACUUGCUGCUUUUUGGAAUACAAAGGCAAUAGGUUAUUGGACCCCCCCUCUGUCUACUCAAUUAAUAUAAACUCAAUUUAUUUUAAAACGAAUGUAAUGGAUGUAACACAUCUCAUAC